CUACGGGAGGCUGCAGUGGGGAAUAUUGCGCAAUGGGCGCAAGCCUGAUGCAGCCAUGCCGCGUGUAUGAAGAAGGCCUUCGGGUUGUAAAGUACUUUCAGCGGGGAGGAAGGGAGUAAAGUUAAUACCUUUGCUCAUUGACGUUACCCGCAGAAGAAGCACCGGCUAACUCCGUGCCAGCAGCCGCGGUAAUACGGAGGGUGCAAGCGGUAAUCGGAAUUACUGGGCGUAAAGCGCACGCAGGCGGUGUGUUAAGUCAGAUGUGAAAUCCCCGGGCUCAACCUGGGAACUGCAUCUGAUACUGGCAAGCUUGAGUCUCGUAGAGGGGGGUAGAAUUCCAGGUGUAGCGGUGACAUGCGUAGAGAUCUGGAGGAAUACCGGUGGCGAAGGCGGCCCCCUGGACGAAGACUGACGCUCAGGUGCGAAAGCGUGGGGAGCAAACAGGAUUAGAUACCCCAGUAGUC
This 464-nucleotide ribosomal RNA is filed under the name uncultured bacterium. RNAcentral's name for it is "partial 16S ribosomal RNA". It matches the Rfam family "Bacterial small subunit ribosomal RNA", at positions 339 to 795 of the family's 1533-position model. The record is from RNAcentral.